UGGUUAUCCAUGGCGUCUUGGUAGAGCUCCUAGAACAACCUUUAACUACUAAUCUAUUCAGCAACCAAAAAUUCAAAAAAGGUUAUGUUAAAAGUGUUAAGGAAAUUGUGGAAGGUGCAUUAUUCCCUGAAGGCGGAGUAGAAAAGAACAAAGUUGGUGAUGCAGGAGGAGUAGGUGGACUUGUGAUUGUGAGAGACCUUGACUUUUACUCCUACUGUGAGUCUUGCAUGCUACCAUUCUAUUUCAAGUGUCAUGUGGGCUAUGUCCCUUCUGCUCAAAGAGUUCUCGGUUUAAGCAAACUCUCUCGUG
This 309-nucleotide small RNA is filed under the name Vigna angularis var. angularis. RNAcentral describes it as "Non-protein coding transcript". Lineage: Eukaryota; Viridiplantae; Streptophyta; Magnoliopsida; Fabales; Fabaceae. The record is from RNAcentral.